Molecule: long non-coding RNA, 3911 nt
Filed under: Fukomys damarensis (Damara mole-rat)
Lineage: Eukaryota; Metazoa; Chordata; Mammalia; Rodentia; Bathyergidae
Description: lncRNA (ENSFDAG00000032407.1)
Source: RNAcentral
UUGUUGAGAACUAGGGAUCACCUUGGAGGUGUUGGAAUUCAGCCUGGCUUGGGAGCAUGUGCUGCUGGGGGCUCACAGGGUUGGGGUGAGGGGACCCCAUCUGUUGCUGGAGUCGCUUCUGAUAGGCCUACAGACAGGCUCCUACCUCUCUGCUCCCAAGGCCUGGGAGGGGGGACUGUGCUGCCCCAUCUGUCCGACGUUCUCUUGUUGCAUCUGCUGCAUGUGAUUCUGUUUGCUGCUGCCACAUCACCUGCUGUUGUCUCAACAUGUCCCACAACUGAGAAGACAGGCUGCUGUGUUCACAUCCACUGGAAGGGCCUGGGGUCUCAACUCUCAUGGUGGCUGGAGUUGCUGCUGCUGCUGCUGCUGUCGCAUCAUCUGCUGUUGUCUCAACAUGUCCCGGAACUGGGAAGACAUGCUGCCGUGAUUCAUGUUCAUUGGCUGCGCCUGGGGACUCAUCCCUCCCAUGGGCGGCUGGAGUUGCGGCUGAGGCUGGUGCUGGGCCAGACCAGCCCUCUGCACACCUGCCUGCAUGGGACUCAUGUUCUGCAUGGCUGGACUGGAGAGGACGCCGCCCUGCUGACCUGGCAUGGCUGGUGGCUGCAGCCCUGGCUGUCCCUGGACCAUGCCAGGCUGUCCAGUGAGAGGCUGUGGAUUAGAGUUGGUGGACUUGAAUCCUGCUGUUUUAUGGCAUAGUUGGAUCCUGCAGCCAACAGCUGGAGGUUGUACACUAAGCACCUGUUGCUGUUGCAGGGGAGAGCCGGGAGACCUGAGAGUCCGCAGGGGAGGUUUUAUAAGGCUUGCUGAGACACAGUGCGUGGUGUGAGUGGGGUCACACCUACCUGGCCCAAACCCGGGUACGUAGCCAUGUUCAAGGCUGCUCGUGUUGGACCACUGAUCGGUCAUGGUUGACCUUGGCACCCUGGACUGGUGUUGCUAGGGCUGAGAGGCAGUGCUAUUUGGGUACAGAGAGCUGCUGCUGCAUUGGUGGGGGCCCCAUUCCUGGUUUAGAUGCCCACCAGGACCUCUGGACAUGGUAGAUGGGUUCAUGGCCACUGGGGCCUAGGAGUUAUUGGACAUCAAGGAUUGUAGUGGUCUUCCAUAGGCCAUCUGGGGCUGUAUCCACUGCUGUCUGAAUCUGCAUUGCUAUUUCUAAUGCUGCAGGUAAGUGCUCAGCCAAGGAUGGCUGAGUAGUCUGUGGAGGAGUUGGAAGGUCACCAGGGCUUUUCCAGAAGAGGUGAGAUCAGGCAUCUUCUGAGUUUUUGGCAGUGCACAUUCAAUGUGGUUGGUAUGGCAGGGGCUGGGGAGGGCAGGCCCUAUUUUUGCCCUGUCACACUGGCAGGCUACACGCUGGCCAUCCUCCUGUGCAGCACCUGGGCCUGCCGGGGCUGCAGCUGCUGUUGGCGGAGCUUCUGCCUGAUGUUGAAGCAGAAUGGCACAGGGCAAUAAUUCUCAUGGCAGCGCUUGGCAUGGUAGCAGCAGAGGGCAAUGAGCUGCCUGCAGACGGGGCACCUGCCAGUGCUCUUCCGUUUGCAGCCUUUGGUAUGGUGUACAACUCGCUUCAUCUUCUGGCAGGAAGGCAAUGGGCAGUUGGCAUCGCGGCACUGGCAGGCUAAGAUCAAGUAUUGAAUGUUGCGCUGGAUGCUCAGGCAGCGAGAUUCUUCUGGGCUCUGGGCAGCCGCACCCUGCUGGUUGCUGCUGUCGUCAUCUAAGCCCAGGCCCAGUUUCUCCAUCGGGUGGUUGUGGCUUUUAGUGUGAAAGCAGGAGACACACAAGUCAUAAUCCUGGGGAAAAACAUAGGAGGUACAGGUGAACACUCGGGAUGUAAAUGUUGAAAUCAUUUGCAAUAUUCUGUCUGGCCUAGGAAAGCUCCUUUUGUUUUUAGAGACAGGGUCUUGUAUUCCAGGCUGUCCUUGUGUUUGCUCUGUAACCCUGGGCUGGCUUUACAUUUGUGAUCUUCCACACCUACCCACUAGUGCAGGGAGCACAGCUGUAUGUCAGCAAGCUGGCUUACAAAAGCGCCUCUGUAUACAACACUUCAGCUCUGCCCCUCACUAUGAGACCAGGCUAUCUUACCCCAAGGACUGGGGAUGCAUCAUCACAGGUAACGUGUUUCCACAUCAUUAUUCAGGUGAUGGGGAUCUGCAAGGCCCACUCCUCUUUCCCAAGAGCUGUUGCUUACCUGGCAGACAGUGCAGUGCCAGUGUGUGUCCACUCGGUCCUUGCACUCACAGCAGGUGCAGAGUAACUGGCAGGCAAACCUGCAGGGAUGGUUUGAGUGAAGAGGACUCAUCCCGACCUCGAUCAGAUCACUGAGGAUGAGAGGGUCAAGGUCACCAAUGGGAGGCAGGGAGGUGGAUCACAAAGCCGACCUGUGGAAGAGAGGCUCACUAUGACUCCGGAACUGGAGUGCUGAGGAAGAAAGGAAGGGGGGCACCCAGCAGGAUGUGCGGACACUGGGGGGGGUGUGACCACACCACUUUCUCCUUUCCUCCUUCACCUACCUCGGCUCUCUCUGAGGCUAAGUAUAAUCCACCUGACACUCACAUCCUCUGAUCUCUUCCACCCCGUGGAAUCAGGCCAGGCUUAGGUCCAGCGCAUAUACAGUGGACAUUUUGCCCCAAGUCUACAUGAGAUGUAAUCCAUGCUUUAACCUGAACCUGAUUACAAGAGACGGAUCUGACAAAUCUCAAGUGACACAUUCUGUAAAAGGACUUCUCUGGGCUCAUCAACAAAAUGCUCGUGUCAUUUAGGAAGAGGCUGGAACUGUUCAUAAUGCAAGGUGAAUGCGGAGACUCAGCACGAUUCUUCACCUGGGACUGGAAUCUGAGGACCAGACGUUAGGUGGUGAAGGCGACUGAUCAUGUGGCACAGUGCGAAGACCCUAGGUUCAGCCCCCUGUACCCCCAAAAUGAAAAAGAAAUCAAAACAAAAUAAAAAUACUAUAGUAUGGUUGAUUGUGUGUCUUCUUUCUUAGCAGGUACUUGCUAGAAUAGAGAUUAGAAAAAGAAAACAUAAGAAGUGGUGUAGGGGUUCUCUGUGCAGCUUUCCCAAAGGUUUGAAAUUUUAAACUAAACUCGGUGGGGGUUGGAGGGAGGAAAGCAAGUCUUAGCCCUUAAUGGCGACCCAGUAAAAUUCUCAUUCCUGAAGUUUGGAAACUUGUAACAGUUAUCAGUUCCCACAAGCAUCAACACCAAGGCUGCAGUUGCAACAAAAGGGUGAUGUUGUAAAUGUACUUGAAAUUAAUUAGAAGAUAACUAUAAACCCAUUAAAAUGAGAAAAGGCAGAAGGUCACCUGAAGAAGUCAGAAAUGUGUAUAAAGCUGACCCGAAGCUUGUUUAUUUUAUUUUAUAUUUAAGAGAUAGGGUGGGGCUGGGGAUUUAGCUCAGCGGUUUGGUGGCCUGCCUUGCAAGCGCAAGGACCCGAGUUCAAUCCCCGGUACCAAAAAGAGAGAGAGAGAGACAGACAGAGAGAGAGAGAGAGAGAGAGGGAGAGAGGGAGGGUGUUUCUACAAGGUACAGGCUGCCCUCAAACUUCUGAUCCUCCCACCUUGUGUCUCUCGUGCUGAACUUCAGACAUGCAGCACCACAUUGGCCUAGCCCACUCUUUUGGACAACUUUGGGGAGACUGAAGUCUGUGCGAUGGGGCACAGGGGCCGCAUGUUUGCUGCUCUUGGGACUCUUCAGCAAAGCCAGUGGCUGACUUUAUAACGGACUUCAGACGCCUGUGGAAUGAGAGCCAUCCAACCUGUCUCCCUCAGAAGUCAGAGCCACCACACACUCUCAGGGCCUUUCCCCACUGCUCCAGGAACCCUAAGAUGUUUGGCAUGAAAUAUUACUUGAAAGAGCUCCUGACUAUGAACUGCUAACAUUUAUCACUAAUUCCCGAGGCCCCCACUGGACCUCAGGGAU